Molecule: non-coding RNA, 88 nt
Organism: Datura stramonium (jimsonweed)
Lineage: Eukaryota; Viridiplantae; Streptophyta; Magnoliopsida; Solanales; Solanaceae
Source: the annotation of a GenBank genome assembly
GGAGAGAUGACUGGGUGGACUAAAGCGGUGGAUUGCUAAUCCGUUGAACAAGUCAAUCAUACCGAGGGUACGAAUCCCUCUCUUUCUG